GUGGGCGCGUUGCUAAAAAUGCAAGUCGGAUGUGCCGCAAGGUGCAUGGCAGACGGGUGAGUAACGCGUGGGGAACCUACCUCUUUGUGGGGAAUAACGUUCCGAAAGGAAUGGUAAUACCGCAUGAGACCGAUGGCUGGGAUGCUGUCGGUGAAACCCAGGGACCGCAAGGCCUGGGGCAAGGAGAGGGUCCUGCGUCUGAUUAGCUAGUUGGCGGGGUAACGGCCCACCAAGGCGUCGAUCAGUAGCCGGCCUGAGAGGGUGAUCGGCCACACUGGAACUGAGACACGGUCCAGACUCCUACGGGAGGCAGCAGUGGGGAAUUUUGCGCAAUGGGCGAAAGCCUGACGCAGCAACGCCGCGUGGGUGAUGAAGGUCUUCGGAUCGUAAAACCCUGUCGUCAGGGACGAAGGUUGUAUGUCUAAUAGAUGUGCAGCUUGACGGUACCUGGAGAGGAAGCCCCGGCUAACUCUGUGCCAGCAGCCGCGGUAAUACAGAGGGGGCAAGCGUUAUUCGGAAUUAUUGGGCGUAAAGGGCGCGUAGGCGGUGUUUUAAGUGAGAUGUGUAAUCCCCGAGCUUAACUUGGGAACUGCAUCUCAGACUGGGACGCUAGAGUGCUGGAGAGGGUGGUAGAAUUCCACGUGUAGCGGUGAAAUGCGUAGAGAUGUGGAGGAAUACCAGUGGCGAAGGCGGCCACCUGGACAGUAACUGACGCUGAGGCGCGAAAGUGUGGGGAGCAAACAGGAUUAGAUACCCUGGUAGUCCACGCUGUAACGAUGAACACUUGGGUGUGGUGGGAGUUGACCCCCCGCCCGUGCCGUAGCUAACGCGAAUAAGUGUUUCCCGCCCUGGGGGGGAGU
Molecule: ribosomal RNA, 860 nt
Filed under: uncultured Acidobacteriota bacterium
Lineage: Bacteria; Pseudomonadati; Acidobacteriota
Description: bacterial SSU rRNA
Rfam family: Bacterial small subunit ribosomal RNA
Source: RNAcentral